Molecule: ribosomal RNA, 447 nt
Filed under: uncultured Aquabacterium sp.
Lineage: Bacteria; Pseudomonadati; Pseudomonadota; Betaproteobacteria; Burkholderiales; Sphaerotilaceae
Description: bacterial SSU rRNA
Rfam family: Bacterial small subunit ribosomal RNA
Source: RNAcentral
GCGGUGGAUGAUGUGGUUUAAUUCGAUGCAACGCGAAAACCUACCUACCUUGACAUGUCAAGAAUUUGCAGAGAUGUGAAAGUGCUCGAAAGAGAACUUGAACACAGGUGCUGCAUGGCCGUCGUCAGCUCGUGUCGUGAGAUGUUGGGUUAAGUCCCGCAACGAGCGCAACCCUUGUCAUUAGUUGCUACCGCAAGGAGCACUCUAAUGAGACUGCCGGUGACAAACCGGAGGAAGGUGGGGAUGACGUCAGGUCCUCAUGGCCCUUAUGGGUAGGGCUACACACGUCAUACAAUGGCCGGUACAGAGGGCUGCCAACCCGCGAGGGGGAGCCAAUCCCAGAAAACCGGUCGUAGUCCGGAUCGUAGUCUGCAACUCGACUGCGUGAAGUCGGAAUCGCUAGUAAUCGCGGAUCAGCUUGCCGCGGUGAAUACGUUCCCGGGUCUU